RNAcentral lists this ribosomal RNA (115 nucleotides) under Falsigemmobacter intermedius. Lineage: Bacteria; Pseudomonadati; Pseudomonadota; Alphaproteobacteria; Rhodobacterales; Paracoccaceae. The record is from RNAcentral.
UCCGGUGAUCAUAGUGUUCGUAAAACACCCGAUCCCAUCCCGAACUCGGAAGUUAAGUGCGAUCAUGCCAAUGGUACUGCAUCUCAAGAUGUGGGAGAGUAGGUCGUCGCCGGAC